CUGAAGGAACACAGAGAAGGAGCAGCGCACGGUGCAAUGAAGGACCUCUGAAGGUAUACUGUGGAAUCUGGCACCAAGACUUUGGCAGCAGAUCCUUUAAUUCCUGUGUGAUGUAAAUCCUAUGACCCCGA
Long non-coding RNA from Tachysurus vachellii, 131 nucleotides. RefSeq lists it as uncharacterized. The transcript is spliced from 3 exons. The record is from RefSeq and is a predicted model, not a curated record. Lineage: Eukaryota; Metazoa; Chordata; Actinopteri; Siluriformes; Bagridae.